RNAcentral lists this ribosomal RNA (446 nucleotides) under uncultured bacterium. RNAcentral's name for it is "partial 16S ribosomal RNA". It matches the Rfam family "Bacterial small subunit ribosomal RNA", at positions 338 to 795 of the family's 1533-position model. The record is from RNAcentral.
CCUACGGGAGGCAGCAGUCGAGAAUCAUUCACAAUGGGGGAAACCCUGAUGGUGCGACGCCGCGUGGGGGAAUGAAGGUCUUCGGAUUGUAAACCCCUGUCAUGUGGGAGCAAAUUGAAAAGAUAGUACCACACGAGGAAGAGACGGCUAACUCUGUGCCAGCAGCCGCGGUAAUACAGAGGUCUCAAGCGUUGUUCGGAAUCACUGGGCGUAAAGCGUGCGUAGGCUGUUUCGUAAGUCGUGUGUGAAAGGCGCGGGCUCAACCCGCGGACGGCACAUGAUACUGCGAGACUAGAGUAAUGGAGGGGGAACCGGAAUUCGCGGUGUAGCAGUGAAAUGCGUAGAUAUCGAGAGGAACACUCGUGGCGAAGGCGGGUUCCUGGACAUAAACUGACGCUGAGGCACGAAGGCCAGGGGAGCGAAAGGGAUUAGAUACCCCUGUAGUC